UCUGUCGAUUCAAGCGUCAACUGUUGCAUCGGAGAGCGCUUUUAGUCAAGCAAGACUACAAAUAGGUGAUCACAGAGCGUCGAUGCGGGACAACUUGGGAAAAUCAGUGCUUUUUCGAGAUUGGAUCCACGCAGAAAGAAGGAACUUUGGGCUAGCAAAAUCACAACCAGAAAUAGAUGAGUGCUAUGAAGAAAUGAUAGCAGAACUUGCUCAGAAAGCAACUUCACUCGGAAGUGGUGAUGAACAAGCUUCAUUUCCACCACCGCCAACACAA
Molecule: long non-coding RNA, 274 nt
Filed under: Nicotiana benthamiana
Lineage: Eukaryota; Viridiplantae; Streptophyta; Magnoliopsida; Solanales; Solanaceae
Description: long non-coding RNA (NBEN_LNC022413)
Source: RNAcentral